This 282-nucleotide long non-coding RNA is filed under the name Lathyrus oleraceus (garden pea). RNAcentral's name for it is "Pisum sativum (pea) long non-coding RNA (PSAT_LNC024805)". The record is from RNAcentral. Lineage: Eukaryota; Viridiplantae; Streptophyta; Magnoliopsida; Fabales; Fabaceae.
AAGAAUCAAUAGAAUUAAGCAAGAAUUAGAGAGAAUCGAAGAGAUCAAAAUUUUUGGAAAAUACCUUCAAUGGAGGUCUGGAUUCAACUGAUCUUGAUCUUGCUCGUGCUUGAUCUCACUCUAAAUGCUUGCAUAAGAAGGAUUGAAUGCUCAAAAGGCUGCGGAUUCCUGGAGAUUUGAAUUUCAAAACAGUGGAAAUUCAAACUCAAAUUCAAGUGAAUUUCUCAGGUUUAUCCUUUGCAAUGUGAGGGUUAGAGUUAGGGGGUCAAAGAUGGCACGAAU